This 188-nucleotide ribosomal RNA is filed under the name uncultured bacterium. RNAcentral's name for it is "partial 16S ribosomal RNA". It matches the Rfam family "Bacterial small subunit ribosomal RNA", at positions 338 to 523 of the family's 1533-position model. The record is from RNAcentral.
CCUAGGGGAGGCAGCAGUGAGGAAUAUUGGUCAAUGGACGGAAGUCUGAACCAGCCAAGUAGCGUGCAGGAUGACGGCCCUAUGGGUUGUAAACUGCUUUUAUGCGGGGGUAAAGUGAGCGACGUGUCAUUCAUUUGCAAGUACCGCAAGAAUAAGGACCGGCUAAUUCCGUGCCAGCAGCCGGGUAU